This 148-nucleotide unclassified non-coding RNA is filed under the name soil metagenome. Its description in RNAcentral is "partial internal transcribed spacer 1". The record is from RNAcentral.
UAAUAAGUGUUUUAUGGCACUUUUUAAAUCCAUAUCCACCUUGUGUGCAAUGUUCAGUCGAUCUUCUUUCAUUGGAGAUCGACCAAACAUCAACCUUUAUCUUUUAACUCUUUGUCUGAAAAAUAUUAUGAAUAAACAAUUCAAAAUA